GAUGAAGAACGCAGCGAAAUGCGAUAAGUAGUGUGAAUUGCAGAAUUCAGUGAAUCAUCGAAUCUUUGAACGCACAUUGCGCCCCUUGGUAUUCCGAGGGGCAUGCCUGUUCGAGCGUCAUUACACCACUCAAGCUAUGCUUGGUAUUGGGCGUCGUCCUUAGUUGGGCGCGCCUUAAAGACCUCGGCGAGGCCACUCCGGCUUUAGGCGUAGUAGAAUUUAUUCGAACGUCUGUCAAAGGAGAGGAACUCUGCCGACUGAAACCUUUAUUUUUCUAGGUUGACCUCGGAUCAGGUAGGGAUACCCGCUGAACUUAAGCAUAUCAAUAAGCGGAGGA
Molecule: unclassified non-coding RNA, 337 nt
Filed under: soil metagenome
Description: partial contains 5.8S ribosomal RNA, internal transcribed spacer 2, and large subunit ribosomal RNA
Rfam family: 5.8S ribosomal RNA (bases 1-120)
Source: RNAcentral